CUGCUGAGGCGGAGGAGAGGAGGAUUUAAGGACUGUGGGUUUCUCUUCUGGCUCGACUGAAGGGAAGAGAUUUAACUCCAGUGAGUACGAACAGACACUCUCUGCGUAGGAUCAUCAUGCCGAGCAUAAACUGGACUUUCCCACUUGCCUGGCAGGAGUCAGACAGAUCCCUGUGUGCUAAAUGAGCAUCUGAGCCUGACUAUGGGAGAUCCAACUCGUUUGACUCUGACUUCUCCUUGAGAAAUAGUGACAACAAAAAGACACUACUUCCCUCUGAAUCAGUCCAGGUAAUG
This is a long non-coding RNA of Cebus imitator (Panamanian white-faced capuchin), 293 nucleotides long. RefSeq lists it as uncharacterized. The record is from RefSeq and is a predicted model, not a curated record. NCBI's taxonomy places the organism in Eukaryota, Metazoa, Chordata, Mammalia, Primates, Cebidae. The transcript is spliced from 3 exons.